ACAUUAUUAUUAUAAAUCAGUAUAUUUAGCUUCCAACUAAAAAGUUCUUUAAAGAAUUAUGUA
RNAcentral lists this transfer RNA (63 nucleotides) under Cyphoderus albinus. RNAcentral describes it as "tRNA-Gly". Lineage: Eukaryota; Metazoa; Arthropoda; Collembola; Entomobryomorpha; Paronellidae. The record is from RNAcentral.